This is a long non-coding RNA of Oncorhynchus kisutch (coho salmon), 2320 nucleotides long. The record is from Ensembl. Lineage: Eukaryota; Metazoa; Chordata; Actinopteri; Salmoniformes; Salmonidae.
GAGUGCCACCUGGCGUCCUUACUGAAAACUACACGUCCCCAUUUUUAUGAAAACAUAAUAGCCGUAGACAUGUCAUGUGACCAGCAAACACUGGGCUUGUUCCGACAUUGCAGCCGACUGACUGAUCUACAAAUCACCUUGCAUCAUAAAUACCGAUAUUAUUAUUUGUAGAUCAGUCAGUAAGCAUUCGCUUCACGGUUUUGAUGCUCCCGAACAACGGCUUUUAAGAGAAACAGAAAGUUAACCGAACUACGGUUGUUGUUACGGUAGAAACGACGCUGUUACCCAGCGCUCACCUCCGUCAUUCUGAACUCUUUUGACUGAACACCGUUUUGAACCCACGUUCUUGCUGCAUGCUGCUUGCACGGUUUCUACGAAGGUACCGUAAGAUGUCAUCUCUUCCCCGACCUCGUCAUGUGAUCUGGGAGACAGAGGAGCUGGUGGCCUACCUCCACCCCCAGCCCUGGACCCCAGGCACUACCAUCCUGGAGCCGAAGACCCCCAGGGGCCCAGAUGAGGAACCAAGCCCAGCUCAGGGCAGUCUCUUCAGGCUGGGUGAGGGAGCCUACCUGAGGUUGCUGCUGGGGGCCAGGGAGGUGGGGGCCCUGCUGUGUGAGAGGCUGGGGGUGAAGAGAUGUGCCCUGGUCUGCAGGCCCCACCCAGACAGUAACAGUCCACCCCAGAUCCGGGUGCUGCCGCUACACGGCCUUGACAGCGAGUGGCGCCCCCACCUGGCGGGAGAUGAGCACUACACCCACCACGACCCCGGCUACGUCACCUCUAAAAGCGGCCCUCGCUGGACUGACACGUCCCUCCAGGAGAUCCAGGCCGAGAUCCGGGCCCAGCUCCCUUCCCCCAAUGCCCUACCAAACCUCACCUUCCUUGGGGAAGACCCAUCGCACCCCGGCCUCUUCUCCCGGAUCGUCCGUGGAGAGGAGCAGCAGUGGAGGGUGUGGGAGGAUGAGGGACACGUGGCAUUCCUCACCCCCUUCCCCAACGCCCCCGGCCUCACCGUACUGGUCCCCCGUCGACCGCUGACCUCGGAUAUAUUUAGACUUGAAGAGGCAGAUUAUACGAGUUUGGUACUGGCAACCCAGAAGGUGGCCAGGGUUUUGGAAGAGGGUCUUGGAGCGUGGGGGGUGGGGUUGAUAUUCGAGGGGUUUGAGAUUGACUACGCUCAUGCUAAAUUGAUACCUCUGCUCUCUCCGCCCUCCUCUCACCAGGUUGAUGGGGGCUCCACCACUGGCUCUCUACCUCCUCAGGCCCAGUUUAGUGCCACCUAUCCUGGGUUUGUGACCUCGGAGGAUGGCCCUGAGGCCAGCCUGGAGUGUUUGAAGGAGUUACAGGCCAAAAUCACACCGUAAUGAUAAUGUAAUGUAUUGACAUGUUAUGAAAUAUGUAUGUAAUUGCAUAUUAUGAAGGACCUGAAACUGGGUGAUUAUAGUAUUGAUGUAUUGCACUUGACUACAUACAUUCCUAUUGGUUGACUUGUGAUAGCUUUUUUUCAAUAUGAAGCCUGUUGCUUCAUGUACAUACUGAUUUGGUACCAAAUUCUGUAGAUGUGACUGUUUCUGUCAUUUUAUUAUGAACUUGAAAUAGGACAACAAUCAAGAGCUUUAUUUGAGAAACAUGGUACUGUAAGGGUUUUAGAUAUAUCCUUUGAUAAGUACUUAACAGUAGCAUGGAAAAAUACAUGAUUGUUUGAUCAAAAUAAACAUGUGAUUUCUAUGUUUUGUAAAGUGUAUUUUCAGAUAUUUCUAACAGCACAACAGGCUGAGAAAACGAAAAGAAAUAAACCGCUGUCUUUCAUUGUCAAAUGUUACAAUACAUAUGUCAUUACUCAUUACCCCUCUAAUUGUAUUAAAUUAGUACAAACGAUCAUGAACCCAAGCACCUUCAUAUGGGGUUAGUUCACCCAAAUUACAAAAAUAAGUAUUGGAUUCCUUCAAAGGUUUACAUUUGAAGCAGGGGCCAGAUAGACAUAGCUUGCACAGGGGCCAGAUAGACAUAGCUUGCACAGGGGCCAGAUAGACAUACGUUGGUACAGACAGUUUUAUUUUCUUACCCGGUAAGCAAUGUAAUUUAGUGAACUAUCCCUUUAAUCAUUAUAUUCCAUAUGCUUCAGUCAUACCAUUGAAUCAUCACCCAGCGUUCAAUUAUGUUUUGCGGGAUCUAUUUACAGAGUUCAGCACUCGCAACACAUCUGCAUAGUCCCCUAAUGAGGUCUUAAGAUCUCUGCCUAACAAGGCUUCUAAUUGGUCCCUCAGUGUUUCAAUUAAGAGGUUGAAUUAAUGAGCAGUUAAGUGGUUAAUUAGUGGGU